RNAcentral lists this ribosomal RNA (431 nucleotides) under uncultured bacterium. RNAcentral describes it as "bacterial SSU rRNA". It matches the Rfam family "Bacterial small subunit ribosomal RNA", at positions 355 to 776 of the family's 1533-position model. The record is from RNAcentral.
UGGGGAAUAUUGCACAAUGGGCGCAAGCUUGAUGCAGCAACGCCGCGUGAGUGAUGAAGGCCUUCGGGUCGUAAAGCUCUGUCAGAAGGAACGAAUACCCUGUGGAAAUAAUACUCCGCAGGUUUGACGGUACUUUCAGAGGAAGCACCGGCUAACUCCGUGCCAGCAGCCGCGGUAAUACGGAGGGUGCUAGCGUUGUUCGGAAUUACUGGGCGUAAAGCGCGUGUAGGCGGACUCGGAAGUCGGGUGUGAAAGCCCUGGGCUCAACUCAGGAAGUGCGCCCGAAACCACGAGUCUAGAGGUCCGGAGGGGAUCGGGGAAUUCCCAGUGUAGAGGUGAAAUUCGUAGAUAUUGGGAGGAACACCGGCGGCGAAGGCGCCGAUCUGGACGGAUUCUGACGCUGAGACGCGAAAGCGCGGGUAGCAAACAGG